This 233-nucleotide ribosomal RNA is filed under the name uncultured bacterium. RNAcentral describes it as "partial 16S ribosomal RNA". It matches the Rfam family "Bacterial small subunit ribosomal RNA", at positions 103 to 334 of the family's 1533-position model. The record is from RNAcentral.
CGGGUGAGUAACACGUAUCCAACCUGCCGUCUACUCUUGGCCAGCCUUCUGAAAGGAAGAUUAAUCCAGGAUGGGAUCAUGAGUUCACAUGUCCGCAUGAUUAAAGGUAUUUUCCGGUAGACGAUGGGGAUGCGUUCCAUUAGAUAGUAGGCGGGAUAACGGCCCACCUAGUCAACGAUGGAUAGGGGUUCUGAGAGGAAGGUCCCCCACAUUGGAACUGAGACACGGUCCAA